RNAcentral lists this ribosomal RNA (253 nucleotides) under uncultured bacterium. RNAcentral describes it as "partial 16S ribosomal RNA". It matches the Rfam family "Bacterial small subunit ribosomal RNA", at positions 524 to 776 of the family's 1533-position model. The record is from RNAcentral.
UACAGAGGGUGCGAGCGUUGUUCGGAAUUAUUGGGCGUAAAGGGCGCGUAGGCGGUGCGGUAAGUCACCUGUGAAAUCUCCUGGCUCAACUGGGAGCUUGCAGGCGAAACUGCCGUGCUGGAGUGUGGGAGAGGUGCGUGGAAUUCCUGGUGUAGCGGUGAAAUGCGUAGAUAUCAGGAGGAACACCUGUGGCGAAGGCGAUCAUCUGGGGUUGUUCUGACACUGAGGAGCGAAAGCUAGGGGAGCAAACGGG